This 301-nucleotide ribosomal RNA is filed under the name uncultured bacterium. RNAcentral's name for it is "partial 16S ribosomal RNA". It matches the Rfam family "Bacterial small subunit ribosomal RNA", at positions 509 to 807 of the family's 1533-position model. The record is from RNAcentral.
CAGUCGCCGCGGUAAUACGAAGGGUGCAAGCGUUAAUCGGAAUUACUGGGCGUAAAGCGUGCGUAGGCGGUUUGUUAAGUCUGCUGUGAAAUCCCCGGGCUCAACCUGGGAAUGGCAGUGGAUACUGGCAAGCUAGAGUGUGUCAGAGGAUGGUGGAAUUCCCGGUGUAGCGGUGAAAUGCGUAGAGAUCGGUAGGAACAUCAGUGGCGAAGGCGGCCAUCUGGGACAACACUGACGCUGAGGCACGAAAGCGUGGGGAGCAAACAGGAUUAGAUACCCGCGUAGUCCCUGUCUCUUAUAC